UAAAAGCAAACAUUUUCAGAA
Molecule: non-coding RNA, 21 nt
Filed under: Caenorhabditis elegans
Lineage: Eukaryota; Metazoa; Nematoda; Chromadorea; Rhabditida; Rhabditidae
Source: RNAcentral